Homo sapiens (human) is the source of this 560-nucleotide long non-coding RNA. The record is from Ensembl. NCBI's taxonomy places the organism in Eukaryota, Metazoa, Chordata, Mammalia, Primates, Hominidae.
CACAUACUAACAAAAAAAAGAAUUCAACAAAAUGAGGAGAGAAACUAUCAUGGCACCAUCCUCAAGCAUGAACAAUUUCUAAGAGUCUGGAGAAAAGCAGGAGGGAAGGCAAACCACAAAGAAGAAACCUCAAAAUAGAAAAUGCCAUGAUCAUAUCAGAUUCCUUAUGGAUGACUUUCGCCUUUCCACCUGGAUAGCCCAGAUCAGCUUCAACCUAGAAAACAUUCAUCAGCAGUUUUAGUUGCUGCAGCACAGCUCUAUUUAGAGUUAUGCACAUCCCAUAAGAUUUAAAUGUAGGAUAAGAAGAAAAUGUAGCAGCAGCAGCAGCAGCAGCAGCAAGAAAAAAGGGGACUCCCCUAUGGCUGCUGCAGCUGAUAAAGAUGCAUCCAAGAAAACUUCCAAGGAAUGGUCAAUGUGUGGCACAGCUAACUCAGUGAAGGCCAAACUGCUGAAGAAUCUAUUUGUCUUAACUAGCUGAAUUCACCAAUCUGUUUCCCAAAAACUUGUUUUGUGAAAUAUUUUCCUGUAAUAUCUUCAGUGAAUAAAAGAUCUUAUUCUUA